RNAcentral lists this ribosomal RNA (386 nucleotides) under uncultured bacterium. Its description in RNAcentral is "bacterial SSU rRNA". It matches the Rfam family "Bacterial small subunit ribosomal RNA", at positions 29 to 417 of the family's 1533-position model. The record is from RNAcentral.
AUUAAACGCUGGCGGCAUGCCUUACACAUGCAAGUCGAACGGCAGCACGGGGGCAACCCUGGUGGCGAGUGGCGGACGGGUGAGUAAAGCAUCGGAACGUAUCCUGGAGUGGGGGAUAACGUAGCGAAAGUUACGCUAAUACCGCAUAUUCUGUGAGCAGGAAAGCAGGGGAUCGCAAGACCUUGCGCUCUGGGAGCGGCCGAUGUCGGAUUAGCUAGUUGGCGGGGUAAAGCCUACCAAGGCGACGAUCCGUAGCGGGUCUGAGAGGAUGAUCCGCCACACUGGGACUGAGACACGGCCCAGACUCCUACGGGAGGCAGCAGUGGGGAAUUUUGGACAAUGGGCGGAAGCCUGAUCCAGCCAUGCCGCGUGAGUGAAGAAGGCCU